This 73-nucleotide transfer RNA is filed under the name Caldilineaceae bacterium SB0661_bin_32. RNAcentral describes it as "tRNA-Lys". It matches the Rfam family "tRNA". Rfam says of the family: Transfer RNA (tRNA) molecules are approximately 80 nucleotides in length. Their secondary structure includes four short double-helical elements and three loops (D, anti-codon, and T loops). The record is from RNAcentral. Lineage: Bacteria; Bacillati; Chloroflexota; Caldilineae; Caldilineales; Caldilineaceae. RNAcentral also lists the same sequence under 7 other names.
GGCCCACUAGCUCAACUGGCAGAGCAGCGGACUCUUAAUCCGCGGGUUCGGGGUUCGAAUCCCUGGUGGGUCA